GACGAAGGGGGCUAGCGUUGCUCGGAAUUACUGGGCGUAAAGCGCGUGUAGGCGGUUGUCCAAGUUGGAUGUGAAAGCCUUGAGCUUAACUCAAGAAAUGCAUUCAGGACUGGAUGACUAGAGGACCGGAGAGGAUAGUGGAAUUCCCAGUGUAGUGGUGAAAUGCGUAGAGAUCCGGAGGAACCCCAGAGGCGAAGGCGGCGCUCUGGCUCGCAACUGACGCUCAGACACGACAGCAUGGGGAGCGAACGGG
Molecule: ribosomal RNA, 253 nt
Filed under: uncultured bacterium
Lineage: Bacteria
Description: partial 16S ribosomal RNA
Rfam family: Bacterial small subunit ribosomal RNA
Source: RNAcentral